This 1642-nucleotide long non-coding RNA is filed under the name Varroa destructor (honeybee mite). Its description in RNAcentral is "uncharacterized LOC111244520". Lineage: Eukaryota; Metazoa; Arthropoda; Arachnida; Mesostigmata; Varroidae. The record is from RNAcentral.
GCGAACACACACGAACGAAUCCGGCCCAGUAAAUGGGGAAAAAGGCAAAUGAAAUCUAGAUACAGGCACACAUUGGGUGCCGAACAUCAAUGCGUAUGACCGCUGGCGAAGAUCAAGAACGGGCCGAACAACUGGCUGCUAGCACCCAACGCUGAUCAGCUCUAUCCCAACUGAUGCACUAAUGUGCGCCCCACACAUGAAUCGUAUAACAUGAAGCGUUUGGUACGUCCAUGUCGUGUCCGCUUCAACCUUCUGAUCACUGCACCAGUUGAACUGCGUAAACAGAUUGCUUGUGUUGACUCUAGUCCCCUUUGCUAUUGAGUGCGCUCUGGCAACAGCUUUUUUCUACAAACGACGCCCGAUGACGCCGAUCAAAUUAUAGUGUUGAUGCGUCAUCGGAUGUGCAUAUACACCUUGUGAUCUUGGGUCGCUGUACAUGAUCGAAGCAUACAUUUUUAAACCCAUCAAGUCAUUUACGCACAGGCUUGGCUCCUUGUCGAGGAUCGUCUAUUAACGAUCCGCGGUUCGCUCUAGAGGUGCACGAAUCGUCUGUCUUCAAGCGCCUAAAGGAGAAAUGAAGUGGCGGCGAUGACAACCGCUAGAUAUCAGAGCUACAAACACAACCUGGGGGGUCCCAGAACCCACAGCCUUUGCCAGUACUACAAAAUCAUUUGACCGACGACAACAGACGGACAGGUCCCCAUGAAGCGGCGAUUGCAUAAUGAACCGAUCUGAAAAAGUACCUUUCGAUCCUUCAAGAAAAAUUAGACUUCAGAUAUCAACGAUUGAAUAGUUCAGAGUUUAGUGACGAAGCAAAAUGCGAUUUUCAUACACCACUGACAAACAGUGUGCUCCCAUCGAAUGCUGGCUGCGUUCCGAAAAUUAAGUAAUAGCGACAAAUAAUAAACUGUGGGGUAUGGCGUUGCGCCGAUUUGGAUAAUUCUUGUAGUGAAUAAACAUAUAUGUUAUACACCCAGACGAGUACUUAUAAAUGGGUGAACACUCGUAAGGUUCUCCUGUAACUGUGACGUUGACGAAAAUGUCUACACGUAAUCUAUCGAUUGAUUCGGCCUGCUAUACGAUUUUAACCCACAAGGCCCUCGUGAUGGUACAGUGACAGCCUGUGAACUUAAAAAUGCUAGAAGAUCGCUUUGGCUUGAAUCCUGGCGAAGAAAGCGUCUUGCAUGGCGUACGAUAGUACCAAACAAAACAGAAAAACCAGAAACGCCUACGGAGCUAUCCUUGUCGACAGAAUGUUGUGCUUCACCUUCAUUUCGUGUUCUGGGUAAAAUUCUUACGUAUUUGGCCUAUACAUAGCCUAUACAGAUGCCUACUAUUGUCUGUGCCAACAAAACUACCCACACACUCGCCCCAUAUAUACAUCCGUACAGCCUUCGGCAGCGGUGUAAAUCGAAGUCGAUUUUCUGAGAGGACGCGUUUUGAGGUAGCGUCAAGAUGGCCUUGAAGUACGCUGUCUGCACGCUCCUCAAACGCCGUGUUUGCCGUCGCAACUGUAGAGAAGAAUCGACUCGGCGCGUCCACGACAUUUUAAAGAAGGCCAACAAAACGCGAGACAAUGAAUCUCUGAAGUAACUGUACGAACUGGUUUUCUCCAGUAAUUAUUAAUAGUUUCAAUGGAACA